ACACGAAUCGACAGUUCUUCACGAUUUUGUUGAAGCAACCGUCUAGUUUCAUCCAUCUGACGAUCCAACAUCGUCUGAAUCAUCAAUUGCACACCAGCCAUGGUUAUUGGCUCAGGUGCUGCUGCUACGACAGGUAUUGGCUCAAUCACUGGUGGUUGAUUCCUGUUUUCGUCAGCAUUUCCAACUCCACUUCUUGUUCUCACCAUUUUGAUCUACACCGAAUAAGGUGAAAUUAGAUCCUCAAUCAUGAUAGAUAUUCAAAUCAUCCUUAUCACUCCGAAACGUUUACAUGCUAGUUCUAAUAUCGUAGACGUACGCUUAGAAUCCUACACACAUAAGGUUUCUAGAUCCGGUCGGCAACAGACCAUAGAUCCGAACAAAUAAUAUCAUAUAUGGCAACAUAUAACAUUUAGCACAUAAAGCAUUUUAGGCAACUUUCCUAAAAUAAACUAGUGCUCGUGUCUAAAUCACAACAGACACACAUCUCAAAACUUCACUUAGCAUUCUAAGUUUAAGUCUAGAAAUCCUACAAAUUCCUAGUUCGCUUAAACUAAUGCUCUGAUACCAACUGUGACAUCCCCAAAAUCUCGGCCAGAAAAGACCGAUUUUCAUUUAUGCUUUUAAAUAUUUUCAGAGUAAAUCCUUUUGAUUUGAAAGAGUUGCGGAAUUUGUUCCCAAAAACAAAACAUGAUAAAACAUUGUUUACCGAAGCAUUUCAUAAAAGAAAUGUAUUUUCAUUAUAAUCAAAACUCGGGGUGUCAUGUUCCGAUACAGACCAAUAAGCAUAAACGAAUACAUUACAAGUCAUAUAACAAAUAUAAACAUAUGCAGACUUGUAAACAAAACAACUUGAUGGUUCAUCCAUCUCAUGCCCUUCCGCCACUACCUGUAAUACAAUUUAAAACUGAGUGGGUCAGGCUUGGGAGCCUGGUGAGCAUAUAGGGUUUUCAACCCACAAUAAAUAUCAUAUUUAAUUUUCACCAACCAACAAUAACCCAAUUACCCAUUCCCGUUAUUCUCACUUUAAUGUCCCUAAAACAACUAACAUAAGGGACCUAGUCUAAGAAUAUUUCAUCGGGGCGACAACACAUGCUUCGGGGGUACCUCAGCAAUAUAAGUCAAAUAAGGCAACCAUGAGGGGGAUGGAGUACAGCGAAUGAACACCCAAGUUCAUUAACACCUACAGGUGGCGAACCUGCUAAUGUUUCCACAAGACUGUCUAGAAUAGCCAGUGGUCGUCAUCUAAACUCCGCUAGAUGACUCAAUCAAACAACAACGAGGCCUCUCAUCUGUUUAUUACACACCAACUGUCUACCCAUGUUCUACCCAACAUAUUAGUAGAUAAAAAUAUACAUUUGUAUACAUAGUUUAAAGAAAACCUGUAUAGCAUGCUUUAAUCAACACAUAUAUCACAUAACAGAUGAGGCACACACACACAUAACACAUAUCUCAUAAAGAAAUAAGCAGAUCUAUAAGAUAGAAGAGAGUGAAUACUCAUUCACACAUAACACAACCAAAUAUAUACACAUAGCACGUAUUUUUAUAUAAAAUACUUCGUAUUAUUGUAUUAGAAGAAAUAACUACACACUCACUUGAUCAGAAGAUGAUCGGACAGCACUACGGCUUAUAGAAGUAGUAAUCCACAGCAGAUCUGGAAGAUCUUCUCGAAAAUCGAACUUCUCGCGGGCAGAGCUUCGACUCGGGAACCGCACUUUUCGGGAUCUUCAGGAUCUCGGGACUUGCCUCGGGGCUAGAGUAUGAUACCGGGACUUCGGGGUAGCUUCGGGGGUUUUUGCACAGAGCUUCGACACGAAAACGAGAGGGAAUUGGCAAAAAUACCCGGAACCCUCGCAUCCUAUUUAUAGGAGGCUGGAGCCUCGGAGUACGCGGGGCGUACUGCGUUACGCGGGGCGUACUGCCCAAAACGUCAUUGCUUACGUAUCCGAAGUGCUCGAGUGCGAGUGUCGACAUCCCUCGGAGUACGCGGGGCGUACUCGAGUACGCGGGGCGUACCUCGGAUCAGAUCGGUGACUCCUUCGGAUAAUGCUUCCGAAUUUUGAAUUAAAAAUAAAUACAAAAUGAUUAAUAAACUUCGGAAAUUCAUAACUUCUUCAUACGAACUCCGUUUUCGACGUUCUUUAUAUCCACGCGAAGGUGAGACCACGCUCUACGACUUUCGUUUAGACUCCGUCGGCUAAUUUUGACUUUAUUUUUAUUAAUUAUUUUUAAUAGGCCGGGACAGAAACUUUCGUUAUAAAUUCAUAACUUCUUCGUUUGACGUCCGUUCUCGCCUAACUUUUUAUCGUUUCAAUACCAACAAUGAGAUCUUCGAUUCUCAUUUAGAUUGCUUCGGCUAACAACCGCUCGAUCUCAAAUCGAGUAAAACAGGCUGUAUAUCGCUAAGCCGGAACUUCGAUAAAUCAUAACUUCCUCAUACGAAGUCAGAUUUGGGCGUUCUAUAUAUAUUCGGAAACCUCGUUUCAACUACUACAACAUUAACCAAAGAUAUUAAGUUUAUUUUACACUUAAAUUUUGACGCUUAUUUUUAUUCUUAAUUAAUCAAACCACAUAAUUAAGCAAUUAAGCACAAAACACAUAAUACUCAAAUAAUACAAUCUUAUUAUUUCAAAACGGGUUACAAAGGUUAACCUAGACUAUUACAUUGCUAAAAAUGGCAAGCCCGGAAACACAGGCGUUACAAUUCUCUCCACCUUAGAAUGAUUCCGUCCCCGGAAUCACACAUCAACAAACAAAUGCGGAUAGCGACUCAACAUGUCACUCUCCGUCUCCCAGGUGAGAUUCGGCCCAUUCGUGUGUUUCCAUCGGACAAGCACUAACCCAACCAUUUUGCGUCGCAACUUCUUAGUCUUUCGGUCAACAAUUGCCUCUGGUUCUUCAAUCAACCUUUUGUUCUCAUCAAUUCUCAAUUCAGAAAUUGGAAUUAUAUCGGGAACUUCUCCCGUGAACUUCCUCAAAUAACACACAUGAAAGGUGUUGUGAAUUCCAUUCAGUUCUUCGGGUAAUUCGAGCUUGUAAGCUUGAUUCCCAAUCCUCUGAAGGACUUUAAACGGUCCAAUAAACCUUGGACUCAACUUUCCCCUUUUACCAAAUCUUAUAAGUCCCUUCCACGGCGAGACUUUAAGCAAAACCGAAUCUCCAACCUCAAAAGUCAUCGGUCUUCGCUUCUUGUCAGCAUAGCUCUUUUGACGAUCUUGAGCUGCUAACAUUCUUUCCCUAAUUAUUUUCAACUUUUCAGCAGUUUGAUGAACCAUCUCCGGUCCCAUAAACUGCUUUUCCCCAGCCUCAAGCCAACAAGACGGCGUACGACACUUCUGUCCAUACAAAGCUUGAUAAGGUGCCAUCUUAAUGCUCGAGUGAAAACUAUUAUUAUAGGAAAAUUCUACCAACGGUAAAUGUUCAUCCCAAUUACCUAGGAAUUCCAAGGUACAUGCUCUCAGCAUAUCUUCAAGUGUUUGUAUUGUUCUUUCACUCUGACCAUCAGUCUGCGGAUGGUAAGCUGUGCUUAAACAUAACUUGGUACCCAUUUCCUCUUGUAGACUUUUCCAAAACCUUGAGGUGAAACGGCUAUCACGAUCCGAUACAAUCGUUAACGGAACACCGUGAAGCCUCACAAUUUCCUUCACGUAAGAAUUCGCAAGCUUUUCCAUAGACCAUUUCUCCCUGGCCGCUAUGAAAUGCGCACUCUUAGUGAAUCGAUCAACGACCACCCAAAUCAUGUCGUGACCAUUCUUUGUUCUGGGCAGUUUAGUGACAAAAUCCAUAGCAAUGUCUUCCCACUUACCCAUAGGCACAGGCAAUGGUUCUAAACUCCCGUAAGGUUUCUGAUGUUGUGUCUUGACUCUCGCACAAGUCACACACUCGGCCACAUACUUUGCAACAUCAAGCUUCAUCGUCGGCCACCAGUAGUAGGGUUUCAGGUCCCUAUACAUUUUAGUGCUACCCGGAUGAAUUGAGUACAUGGUUUUGUGAGCUUCUUCCAUCAGAAGAUCCCUAAUUCCUCCUGACUUAGGUACCCAAAUACGAUCUUGGAAUACCUUCAGUCCAUGACCGUUAGUACCAAACACCAACGUUUUACCCAAACGUUCCUCCUUUCGGUCAUUUUUCUCAGAAGCUUCCUCUUGAGCUUUCUUUAUACUUUCCACAAUAGUCGAGACAACUUCAAUUCUCAACGCUCUUGGCCUCUUCCUUUCAAGAUUGACUUUCCGACUGAGAGCAUCAGCAACAACAUUAGCUUUACCGGGGUGGUAAAGUAUCUCGCAGUCGUAGUCUUUAAGUAAUUCUAGCCAGCGUCGUUGCCUCAUAUUCAAUUCUUUCUGAUUAAAGAGGUAUUGGAGACUCUUAUGAUCAGUGAAAAGUUUGCACUUCGUGCCAUAGAGGUAAUGCCUCCAUAUUUUCAGAGCGAAAACUACCGCUGCCAACUCCAAAUCAUGAGUCGGGUAAUUCUUUUCAUGCUCUUUCAGCUGUCGAGACGCAUAUGCUAUCACCUUUUCUCUUUGGGUCAAAACACAACCCAAUCCAACACCAGACGCAUCGCUAUAAACAGCGAAGUCUUCAACUCCAUCGGGUAGAGAAAGUAUCGGUGCCUCGCAUAGCUUCUUCUUUAACUUCUCGAAUGCUUCUUUAUGCUUCUCACUCCAAGCAUAAGUAGCUCCUUUGUGGGUCAAAGCUGUUAAUGGAGUAGCAAUCGAAGAAAAGCCUUGGAUAAACCUUCGGUAAUAUCCGGCUAAUCCUAAAAAGCUUCGAAUCUCCGUGGGACUUUUCGGUUGUUCCCACUUCGUCACAGCUUCGAUCUUCGCUGGAUCAACCAUUAUCCCUUCUUGGUUGACCACGUGACCCAAGAAUUGGACCUCACGAAUCCAAAAAUCACAUUUGGAGAACUUCGCAUAAAGCUUCUCCUUCUUCAAAACUUCUAACACUUCUCGCAAGUGUCUGCCAUGCUCCUCCUGGCUUUUCGAGUAGAUCAGAAUGUCGUCUAUGAACACUAUCACGGAUUUAUCAAGGAAAGGAUUACAAACCCUAUUCAUCAAAUCCAUGAACGCUGCUGGAGCAUUGGUUAGUCCAAACGACAUAACCAAGAACUCGUAGUGUCCAUAUCUAGUUCUGAAUGCAGUCUUCUCGAUAUCUUGCUCUCUUACUUUUAGCUGAUGAUAUCCUGACCUAAGAUCGAUCUUCGAGAAAUAGCUCGAACCUUGCAAUUGAUCAAACAGGUCAUCAAUCCUCGGCAACGGAUAUCUAUUCUUUAUUGUUGCCUUGUUCAGCUCUCUGUAAUCGAUGCACAUUCUCAUACUUCCAUCUUUCUUCUUCACAAAUAACACCGGAGCUCCCCAGGGCGAUGAACUAGGUCUAAUGAAACCUUUGUCCAAUAACUCCUGAAGUUGCAUCAUCAGCUCCUUCAUCUCCGUCGGUGCUAAUCGAUAAGGUGCUUUUGCUAUUGGCGUGGUUCCUGGUAACAAGUCUAUUCUGAACUCCACUUGUCUAUCAGGUGGUAAUCCAGGAAGAUCUUCGGGAAAUACUUCCGGAUAAUCACACACCACUGGAAUACUCUGCAUCACCUUCUUUUCCUUCUUAGCAUCAAUCACGAAUGCUAAAUAUGAUGUACAUCCCUUGGUCAAACACUUUCUGGCUUUCAUUAGAGAAAUGAUUCCAGAAUUCACUCUGCGUUUGUCCCCAUACACCAUAAACGAAUCUUUCCCAGGCGGGUUUACUUUAACUAUCUUCUUCUUGCAUAAAAUUUCGGCAUCAUUGGCGCUAAGCCAAUCCAUUCCCAACACGAUGUCGAAACCAUUAAGUUCGAUAGGCAAUAAUUCCUCGUGAAACUUAUUCCCAUUAAGGUCGAUUAAGAUGUUUUUCAUACGAUGGCUAACAGGUACAAACUUGCCACUAGCAACUUCGACUAAUAAAGCAUUAUCUAGUCUAUCAACAGGCAAAGCUAGUUUUCUACCAAACUCAUGCGAAAUAAAGGAGUAGUUGGCUCCAGAAUCAAACAAAAUUUGAGCAGGUAAUUCGUUUACGAGAAAGGUACCUGAAGCGACAUCAGCUUCAUCUUUCGCAGCCUCAAGUGUCAUCUGGAAGGCUCUCGCCUUCGGCUUUGGUGGAAUGUUGGGCCUAGCUGCCUCCUUCUUCUUCGGACAGUCUUUCAAAAUGUGCCCCUCUUCAUUGCAACCAAAACACAUCCUUUUGUUGUUCGGACACUCAUUGGCAAAAUGUCCAACCUUUCCACACUUGUAGCAGGUUACAUCCUCGCUACAUUUCCCAAAGUGCUUUUUCUUACACUUAUCACACCACUUCGCUUCGCCUCCCUUUCCUCCAAACUUUUUCGAAUCAGAUUUCGAAAAUUUGCCUUUCUUACCGGAACCAGAUGUUCCCUCAAACUUUCUCUUCUCACCAACCUCAACCUUGUCGGUGGUUCUCCCCUUAAUCAUGUUCUCAACAGACUUGGCAGCCCAGAUAGCUGCCUCUAGAGUAUGUGCCUGACAUACUGGCACCUCGUACUCCCAUGGGAGUCCCUUCGCAUACCGGUCCACCUUUGUCAGCUCGUCAGGAACGAUACGCAAGGCAAACUCCAUCUUAUCAGUGAAGUUGUUGGUGUAUUCAUCAACUGACAUGCUGCCUUUUGUCAAUGUCAGAAACUUGUUCUCUAGUUCCAACAGAUUUUGAGCCGAGCAGAACUUGCGCUUGAACUGCACCAAGAACUCUGCCCAUGUCAAUUGAAGUGGCUCAUUAGGGCUCAACGUCUUCCCUAGAGUGUUCCACCAACGAACGGCUCCACCUCGGAACUGACGCACUGCAUAGAUAGUCUGCAACUUGCCUCUGCAGCCACAAGUCAUGAAGGCUAACUCCAUUUCGGAGAUCCAAUCCAUAACUCCAAUCGGAUCCUCCUUUCCAUUGAAGGUCGAUGGUUUGCAAGUUAGAAAGUCCUUGUACUUGCAUCCCAUUCCAUCAUUCCUUCCAUCAUGGUUGUUUUGCCUAACUAUCGGUGGGUUGGCUUGACCAACAGACCCACUGAAGUUUCCACCUUCCGAGUGCCCUUCAUUUAAUUCAGGCUCUUCCACACGAAUUGACAGUUCUUCACGAUUCUGUUGAAGCAACCGUCUAGUUUCAUCCAUCUGACGAUCCAACAUCGUCUGAAUCAUCAUUUGCACACCAACCAUGGUUAUUGGCUCAGGUGCUGCUGCUACGACAGGUACUUGCUCAAUCACUGGUGGUUGAUUCCUGUUUUCGUCAGCAUUUCCAACUCCACUUCUUGUUCUCACCAUUUUGAUCUACACACCGAAUAAGGUGAAAUUAGAUCCUCAAUCACGAUAGAUAUUCAAAUCAUCCUUAUCACUCCGAAACGUUUACAUGCUAGUUCUAAUAUCAUAGAUGUACGCUUAGAAUCCUACACACAUAAAGUUUCUAGAUCCGGUCGGCAACAGACCAUAGAUCCGAACAAAUAAUAUCAUAUAUGGCAACAUAUAACAUUUAGCACAUAAAGCAUUUUAGGCAACUUUCCUAAAAUAAACCAGUGCUCGUGUCUAAAAUAUAACAGACACACAUCUCAAAACUUCACUUAGCAUUCUAAGUUUAAGUCUAGAAAUCCUACAAAUUCCUUGUUCGCUUAAACUAAUGCUCUGAUACCAAAUGUGACAUCCCCAAAAUCUCGGCCAGAAAAGAUCGAUUUUCA
RNAcentral lists this long non-coding RNA (7684 nucleotides) under Lactuca sativa (garden lettuce). RNAcentral's name for it is "long non-coding RNA (LSAT_LNC004265)". Lineage: Eukaryota; Viridiplantae; Streptophyta; Magnoliopsida; Asterales; Asteraceae. The record is from RNAcentral.